This 468-nucleotide ribosomal RNA is filed under the name uncultured bacterium. RNAcentral describes it as "partial 16S ribosomal RNA". It matches the Rfam family "Bacterial small subunit ribosomal RNA", at positions 28 to 507 of the family's 1533-position model. The record is from RNAcentral.
GACGAACGCUGGCGGCGUGCUUAACACAUGCAAGUCGAACGGAAAGGCCCUGCUUUUGUGGGGUGCUCGAGUGGCGAACGGGUGAGUAACACGUGAGUAACCUGCCCUUGACUUUGGGAUAACUUCAGGAAACUGGGGCUAAUACCGGAUAUGAGCUCCUGCUGCAUGGUGGGGGUUGGAAAGUUUCGGCGGUUGGGGAUGGACUCGCGGCUUAUCAGCUUGUUGGUGGGGUAGUGGCUUACCAAGGCUUUGACGGGUAGCCGGCCUGAGAGGGUGACCGGCCACAUUGGGACUGAGGUACGGCCCAGACUCCUACGGGAGGCAGCAGUGGGGAGUAUUGCACAAUGGGCGGAAGCCUGAUGCAGCAACGCCGCGUGCGGGAUGACGGCCUUCGGGUUGUAAACCGCUUUCGCCUGUGACGAAGCGUGGGUGACGGUAAUGGGUAAAGAAGCACCGGCUAACUACGUG